UUCAUAUCUUUAUACUUUAAUAUAAUUUUAAGACGCAACAACACAACGCUCUCUGACGGGACAUGGAUGUACGAUUUUAAUGGAUGAAAAUAAAUAUGACUGCGUCCGUAGUCAGAGCAUAUAUUCAAUCUAGUUUAUCAAGGCAAGUAUCAGAAGUAGUAUGGCGAGAACAAAAUAUAAAUCAUACUUUACAAACCUUGAAUGUAUUACAUAUUCAACGGCAAUAUUAUCAUAUUACUCUAGCUUCUUUUAAACGAAGAAAUAAUCGAGAAAAAACUAUGAUAUUUAAUGAAGAAAUGUUAAAUAAUUUUUCAAAUGAACAAUUUAAAAGAAAGUCAUUGCCAGUAGUAGAUGUAUGGGAAAAUAUGACAGUUAAAGAAUUAGCAAAGUCUGCUAAAAGGAAUAUUAACGAUAUUUUAGAUGUACUUUAUAUUGUAAGUGAUAAAGAUAUUUAUAAUAGAAAUAGUAUUUUAUCAGAUGGACAAUUAAUAUCUAGCAUAAUUAAAAAACUUGGAGCAAAAUCUAAAAUUAUUUCAAAGCAAACUUCAAAUAAAAAUACAAAGUAUAAAGACAUUACAAGAAGACCUCUACCAGAUAAGUCUCAAUUAGUGAGACGACAUCCAGUGGUAACAAUAAUGGGGCAUGUUGAUCAUGGUAAAACUACCUUACUUGAUGCAUUACGACAUACGUCUGUUGCACAGUCUGAAUUUGGUGGAAUUACACAAUGCAUUGGCGCCUUUGAUGUAACUUUGGAUUCUGGAGAACGAGUAACAUUUUUGGAUACACCUGGCCAUGCUGCUUUUACCUCUAUGCGAUAUAGAGGGGCAUAUGCAACAGAUAUUGUAGUAUUAGUAGUAGCAGCUGAUGAUGGUGUCAAAGAACAAACCUUACAGAGUAUAGAAAUGGCAAAAAAUGCCAAAGUUCCAGUUAUUGUGGCUAUCAACAAAAUUGAUAAACCUAACAUUGAUAUUAAAAGGACACAACAUGAACUUGCAGAUCAUGGAAUUGUAGUUGAAGAACUUGGUGGUGAGGUACAAUGUGUGAAAAUAUCUGCUUUAAAGGGAACUAAUUUACAAGAAUUAACAGAAGCUAUAGUUGUACAAGCGGAAUUAAUGGAUUUGAAAGGGGAUCCUGCAGGCUUAGUAGAAGGUGUUGUUAUUGAGUGUAGUAAUCAUGUUGGUCGUGGAAAAUUAGUGACGGCUUUAAUUCAGCGUGGUACUUUAAAGAAAGGAUGUUUGUUAGUCUCUGGACUAGCAUGGGUUAAAGUAAGAGCUAUGUUUAAUGAUUCCGGCCACCCUAUUUUGGAAGCUAAACCAUCGGACGCGAUACAAAUCAUUGGAUGGAAAGAAUUACCUGAUGUUGGAGAUGAAAUGCUAGAAGUAGAAAAUGAUAAAAUAUUGCAAGAAGUUCUAAAAUUUAGAGAGAAAAAGCGCAAUGAAACUUUAGCUAAACAACAUAAAGCUGUUGCUGACCAAAGGCUACAAGAACAUCUCAUUGAUUAUCGAAAGCUGUUAGAAAUUAGAAGAACAUUUGGAAGAGAUAGAACAGUAAUGAGAAAGGUGAGGGAAAAAGUGGCUGAAAAAGAAAAAAAUAAACGUAUAAUAGAGGAUCCUACUCCAACAGUUAAUAUUAUUAUAAAAGGUGAUGUAGCAGGAAGUGUCGAGGCAUUAUUAGAUAUUUUUGACUCAUAUAAAUGUGAUAAAAUAUGCAAACUAAACAUUGUUCACUAUGGUGUUGGAUCCAUCACAAGCUCGGACAUAGAAUUAGCGGGUACAUUUAAAGCAAUUAUUUAUGGGUUUAAUGUAAAGGCAAUUAAAACAGUAGAAGAAGAGGCCACUGCAAAAGGCAUAGCUCUUCGACUGUAUAACGUUGUAUAUAAACUUAUCGAUAAUGUUAAGGCAGAAAUUAUUAGUUUACUACCUGAAGUCAAUAUCGAAGAAAUAACAGGUGAAGCAACAAUAUUACAAAAAUUUGAUAUAAAUGAAAAAAAUAAGAAAGUAAGCGUUGCAGGUUGCCGUUGCGUUAAAGGCGUUCUUUUAAAAUCUGGACUGUAUCGUAUAGUAAGAGGAAAUGAAAAUAUUUUUACAGGAAGAUUGGUAUCAAUGAGGCAUUUAAAGGAUGAAAUGUCGUCGAUAGAAACUAAUCUCGAAUGUGGUCUCAGAUUUGAAGAUCCAACAAUAUCAUUCCAACCUGGAGAUAAUAUUAUUUGUGUCAUAAUAAAAAGUGAGAAACAAAAGCUUGAUUGGGAUCCUGGAUUUUAAUUGGAUAUUGUUGUAUUUAGAAAAUUACAGAAUAGUAUAUAGACAAUAUAAAAUAAAAAAAUACAAAUGACAAAUCACUGACCUGUCUUCUGUUUUAUUAAUGGCAUAUUAAAUUAUUUAUAUAAAAUGGAUUUUUACAAAAUAAACAAAAAGAUAUAAUUGUGUUAACACCGUUAAGAAGCAUAAGUUUCUCGAAGUCGACGUUGAAUAUGGUGAUACGCAGUCAUAACACCACGUUUCUUUUUCUGUAAACGACACAAUGCUGGUUCUUGGUUGGCUUGUGCGAUUUUUGUAUCUAAAGGCUCGAUAAGAGUAUUAGUAU
Molecule: RNA transcript, 2583 nt
Organism: Bombus impatiens (common eastern bumble bee)
Lineage: Eukaryota; Metazoa; Arthropoda; Insecta; Hymenoptera; Apidae
Gene: mIF2
Gene name: translation initiation factor IF-2, mitochondrial
Exons: 12
Source: RefSeq, a predicted model, not a curated record